CGAUUUUAUUUGAUGAUGAUUUUAAUUAAUUUUAUUCGAUGAUUUUAUUCGAAUUUAUUCGAUGAUGAGUUUAUUUAUUUUAAUUUUAUGAUAAUUUUAUUCGUUUUAAUUCGAUGGUGUUUUUAUUCGAUUUAUUCGAUGUUGAUUUUAUUAGUUUUCGUUGGAUGAUGAUUUUAUUCGGGUUUAUUCGAUGAUGAUUAUAUUGGAUUUUAUUUUAUAAUUUUAUUCGAUUUUAUUUGAGGAUAAUUUUAUUUGAGUUUAUUCGAUGAUUGUUUUAUUCGAUUUUAUUCGGUGAUUUUAUUCGAUUUUAUUUGAUAAUGAUUUUAAUCGAGAUUAUUCGAUGAUUUUAUUUAAUUUUAUUUAAUAAUGAUUUUUUUUGAGUUUAUUUAAUGAUUUUAUUUUAGUUUAUUCGAUGAUUUUAUUUGAUUUUAUUUAAUGAAUUUAUUCGAUUUUAUUUUAUGACGAUUUUAUUUAUUUUUAUUUGAUG
RNAcentral lists this unclassified non-coding RNA (487 nucleotides) under Hevea brasiliensis (rubber tree). The record is from RNAcentral. Lineage: Eukaryota; Viridiplantae; Streptophyta; Magnoliopsida; Malpighiales; Euphorbiaceae.